This 465-nucleotide ribosomal RNA is filed under the name uncultured bacterium. RNAcentral's name for it is "partial 16S ribosomal RNA". It matches the Rfam family "Bacterial small subunit ribosomal RNA", at positions 28 to 507 of the family's 1533-position model. The record is from RNAcentral.
GACGAACGCUGGCGGCGUGCUUAACACAUGCAAGUCGAACGGAAAGGCCCUGCUUGCAGGGUACUCGAGUGGCGAACGGGUGAGUAACACGUGGGUGAUCUGCCCUGCACUUCGGGAUACGCCUGGGAAACUGGGCCUAAUCCCGGAUAGUAGCCAUUUUUAGUGUGAUGGUUGGACAGAUUUUUCGGUGUCGGAUGAGCUUGCGGCCUAUCAGCUUGUUGGUGGGGUAAUGGCCUACCAAGGCGGCGACGGGUAGCUGGCCUGAGAGGGUGGACGGCCACACUGAGACUGAGAUAAGGCCCAGGCGCCGACGGGAGGAAGCAGUGGGGAAGACUGCACAAGCGGCGCAAGGCGUGUGCAGAGAGGCCGCGUGGGGGAUGACGGUCUUCGUGUUGUAAACGCCUAGCGCGAGGGACGAAGCUUUUUGUGACGGUACCUAGAUAAGAAGCACCGGCUAACUUCGUG